UUGCGCUAUUUGCCACGGAAGGUCAUCAAGUGCAAAACCGGCUGAGGCAAUAACACACUGGGUAAAGACAUUACACUUGCCGGUGGGUACGAAAUUAAAUACGGACCCCUGAGGUUCAACAGUCAACGAUUAGGAUACCGUGCACUAUGUUUUUACAGCAGGAAGAGUGAGUGAUUGAGUCUGUCAGAUUCAGUAUGUCUGCAUGGAUGCAGCAGGAGGCUGGUCCAACCAGUUCUGCUGAAAUCAAGAAAUCAGAGCCCAGAGGCAAGGAGAAGAAAUGCUCAUGGGCGUCUUACAUGACAAACUCCCCCACCUUGAUUGUCAUGAUCGGCCUCCCUGCCAGAGGCAAGACGUACAUGUCAAAGAAACUCACACGCUAUCUCAACUGGAUAGGAGUUCCAACAAAGGUGUUUAACCUGGGGGUGUAUCGGAGGGAAGCAGUUAAAGCCUACAAGUCUUAUGACUUCUUCAGACAUGACAAUAAGGAAGCCAUGGAGAUCCGAAAACAGUGUGCCUUGGUGGCCCUGGAAGAUGUAAAGACCUACCUUAAUGAGGAAGGUGGACAAAUAGCUGUAUUUGAUGCCACAAACACAACCCGGGAAAGACGGGAUCUUAUAUUCAGUUUUGUACAGGAGAAUUCAUAUAAGGUGUUUUUUGUGGAGUCAGUAUGUGAUGAUCCAGAGGUUAUUGCAGCUAACAUCCUGGAGGUCAAGGUUUCAAGUCCAGAUUAUCCAGAGACACACAGAGAGCGAGUCAUGGAUGAUUUCCUGAAACGCAUAGAAUGUUAUCAAGUCACUUACCAGCCACUAGAUCCUGAUGAAUAUGACAAAGAUUUGUCCUUCAUUAAGGUGAUGAACGUGGGUCGUCGGUUUGUGGUGAACCGUGUUCAGGACUACAUCCAGAGCAAGAUCGUCUACUACCUCAUGAACAUCCAUGUGCACUCGCACUCCAUCUACCUGUGCAGGCACGGAGAGAGCAAACACAACAUCCAGGGCCGCGUUGGAGGAGAUUCUGAACUCUCCCCCCGAGGAAGACAGUUUGCGAGCACCCUGCGUGAGUUCAUUGAGGAGCAUAAGCUGUCUGACUUGAAGGUUUGGACCAGCCAGUUAAGAAGAACCAUCCAGACGGCUGAAGAGCUGGGAGUUCCGUAUGAACAGUGGAAAAUCCUCAAUGAGAUAGAUGCUGGUGUAUGUGAAGAGAUGACCUACGAAAUGAUCCAGAACACGUUCCCAGAAGAGUUUGCUUUAAGGGAUCAGGAUAAAUACCACUACAGAUACCCAGGAGGAGAGUCGUAUCAGGACCUGGUUCAGCGGCUAGAGCCUGUGAUUAUGGAGCUUGAGAGACAAGGCAAUGUACUAGUCAUCUGCCACCAGGCAGUUAUGCGCUGCCUACUAGCCUAUUUCUUGGACAAGAGUGCAGAUGAUCUGCCCUAUUUGAAAUGUCCCCUUCACACUGUCAUGAAGCUCACUCCAGUUGCUUACGGCUGCAAAGUGGAGAUGUUUUAUCUGAAUGUGGAGGCAGUGAAUACACAUCGGGACCGGCCACUGGGGAAAGUCAGACGAGACUCCGCCCCUCUGCUAAGGCGAAAUAGUUACACGCCCCUCUCCAGUCAUGACCAGGUUAAGCGGCCCCGCCUCUACAGCGAUGGCAACCGACCCUGGCUGCCCCUCACCCCCUCCCCCACCACCCUGCACAUCCCCGACUCGCCAGACGGGGCGCUGCUGCUUCAGCAAAGCCAAGUUAGUGUCAGACUCGAUUGACCCCAUGAUGUCCUGACACUAACCAACCCUCACCCUGGUGUUCUGAAUCACCCCUGAAUGUCACACCCUGUACUAAUUGUGCUAACUGUAAAAGCGAUUUCAGUUUGGCAGUCUCAUCCUAUUCUUUUUUUUCUUUUUUGGCGCAUGUUCUCCGCUAACUCUUUGUUCAGGUUGAGCUCUUUUUUUGUUGUUCUGUAUGGGUGCUCACCACAGAUCAUACAAUAAUCAUAACUUAAACAGCUAACUAAUUGGCCUUAUCUUACUUAACUUUAUAACAACAAAAUCUAAUUGUUUUCCUUCUCUUGUAGACUUUCUUUGAAGUAAUUUUUCUCUGUUAUACCAGAUCAAAAUAAGUGAAUUAUUUCUUGUUACCAGUUUUUCCAUGUGCACAAAUUGUGUCAUAAUUUACUUACUUCAAAGUUGUAUGUACUUCCUUCUGUGGAACAUAAAAGGAAAAACAUAUCUGCUCUUUUCCAUACAAUGAAUGUGAACGGUGACCCAAAAUGAUUAGUAAAAUUUGGAAUAGUUCACCCAAUGAACCAAGAUGUACAUGAGUUUGUUUCUUCAUCAGAACUGAUUUGGUCAUAUUUAACAUUGCAUCACUUGCUCACCAAUGGAUCGUUUGCAGUGAAUGGGUGCCAUCAGCAUCAGAGUCCAAACAGCUGAUAGAAACCUCACAAUAAUCUACACAACUCCAGCCUAUCAGUUAAUGUUGUUUGUAACCAAAAGGUUAAUGUUUUAAUGAAAAAUCCAUUAAGAUUUUUUUUAACUUCCUGCUAAAAUUCAAGUCCUGUAUCAAUAAUAUUGCUUUCUCUUGUUGGCACAGAUAGUCUCGUGUUUAAUGUGCCGACAUAUAAGGCAACUAAGCUCUGUCUCCCACCCCCUCUCUCCCCUCUCAACUGUCCCAUCAAAUAAAGGCAAAUAAGACCAUAAAUAUAACUUUAAAAAAUAAUAAUAUAGCUUUUUCUACUUAGAAAGUUGUAUUGUCUGAAUCAGGAGAGAAAUAUGCAUAGACCAUUAGCUUUCAUUGUAUAGAAACUAGCAGCAUAACAUCUCCUUUUGUGUUCUGCAGAAGAACAAAAGUCAUAUGGUUUGGCAUGACAUGAGGGUGAGUAAAUGACAGAAUCUUCAUAUUUUGGGGGUAAAUCUCUUCAGAGUGAUGUGCUUCAGUAAUGUCCAUGUUUUACUCUGAACAUACCAAUUUGUCCUUGGGCCUCAGUUCUCUUCUCCAUAUUUGUCUCUCCUCUUUCUUCCUCCACUCCUCUUCAUCCUUCUCCCUCUAUUUUCACAGUCUCAUAUGGCUGGCAGUCAUCUGACUCCUUGUGUGAAGGAAUCAACUUUGACUGCCCAGACGAAGCUAAUGACUGUUUCCGCUUCUGAAUGAGAUGGGCGAAUUUCCAAAAUCCUUCAUGAAAACAAAACUUUGCUUUUAGAUACUCCCUCUCCCCAGCUUCUGCUUGCUCUUUCGGUGAUGGAACUACAUUUCCCAUCAGCCCCUUGCAUGACAAAUCACCACUGCUGUGACUACAAUGAAUCCUAUAAUUUAUCAUCAAGAGAUAUAUAUGCGCAGUUAUUUUAGCUGAUGAUGCCUUAAUGAAGACUGUUUGAUCUGUUAUAAUUUGGACAUGAUGUGGGUUGUGCAAAUGAUGAUAACCUCAUCUCAAGUACAGAAUUUGUGUUGCAAUACAAGUA
RNA transcript from Carassius carassius (crucian carp), 3452 nucleotides. It is a transcript of the gene named 6-phosphofructo-2-kinase/fructose-2,6-biphosphatase 2b, with no coding region annotated. The transcript is spliced from 16 exons. The record is from RefSeq and is a predicted model, not a curated record. Lineage: Eukaryota; Metazoa; Chordata; Actinopteri; Cypriniformes; Cyprinidae.